GACAAGAUUUCUGUGUUGGAGUUUUGAUAUCAACCGCACUUCAUUCUUGAAUUCCUGUAUCCCUUGUCCUGACUGUUUAGAUAAUCUUUUCACUGCUAUUUCUUGUCCAUUUGAUAGUUGACCCUGAAAGUGCAUUUUUAGACUUAUUGCACAGACGUGCUACCAUGGCCGCAUAUAUCACACUACAGUACUAAAAUUGUGACUUGCCAAAUAUUCACAUUAAAUUUUAUGAAGGAGUUGACAAUUUUACUUUUCAUGGGAUACUACCUUAUACACUGAGCCAAAACCACCUUCUCCAAGUUUGUUGGAAAAAUUGUCAGUUGCUUCAACUAUUGUGUCUAUAUCGAAGAAAGGUAAAUGUGGAUCACUUCCAGAUCUGUCAAGCUCCUUUUCCCUUGGUGGAUCAUCUGGGUGAGCACUAGAACUAUAGAUAAACAUUUGAGGUUGUGCAUUUUGUGAUAAUCUCCGUCGCCUCCUCACCAACCAGUGUGAGAAAAGAAGAACAGAGGAAACUGCUGCAGCUAUGGACAAUAUCACAAUUAGCAAUAUCCAUUUCUUUGCAAGAAGGUGCUUCUGCUUGUUUGCAUUUUGAGCUGAAAAGGGAAGAUAAGAAAAAGAAACACUCCAACUAUUUAUAUGAUAAUUAACCAGUCAUCUAGAGUUAGCAGAAGAGUAGAUUUAAACACAUAAUCAACAAAGCAUAUAAAAGGAUAAAUAGGAAAAAAGAACCCGAAUUUGUACUGAUAAUUUGCUUGAAGAUACCUAACUCAAGUGCAUCCACACGCAUAUAUAAACUUUGCCCGUCUUCUAUAAAUACUCUUGUAUCUAGCAAAUCACCAUACCAUGUCAAGCAUCCACUUCCUUCUGUCACACCUAGACUUGCAUAUGCAGUGCAUGAACAAUUCCUCAGGCACUCAUCUUUACAAGCUUUCAAAUCCAAAUUUGCCAAUACACGGGC
RNAcentral lists this unclassified non-coding RNA (958 nucleotides) under Hevea brasiliensis (rubber tree). Lineage: Eukaryota; Viridiplantae; Streptophyta; Magnoliopsida; Malpighiales; Euphorbiaceae. The record is from RNAcentral.